UGCUUGUGAAAGAGAUCGGAUGUUUUUUUGGAAGUGCCUCGUUUUUUCGGUUGUGCAAAAGAAAUAUACAAAAGUUUUCAGUGAGCAGCAGAAGAAACAUUAAAAAGUGUAAAAAUGGAUAUCGACGAUGAGUUACUUAGAAACCUCUUGAAAUCUUUUGAUUUAGACGAAAUUUUCAACCGACUGAAAGUUUAAUUUUGACGACGAAACAUUGUCCGCUAAUUCAAAAGUUGUAUCUUGGAUUGAAAAAAGUUCUCCUUCGAACUCGUUUUCAGCUGGUUUAAUGAUUGGAAUGUAGUCGUUGAAAAAUGGUCACAAACAUU
Drosophila obscura is the source of this 323-nucleotide long non-coding RNA. RefSeq lists it as uncharacterized. The transcript has 4 exons. The record is from RefSeq and is a predicted model, not a curated record. NCBI's taxonomy places the organism in Eukaryota, Metazoa, Arthropoda, Insecta, Diptera, Drosophilidae.